Molecule: long non-coding RNA, 3383 nt
Filed under: Homo sapiens (human)
Lineage: Eukaryota; Metazoa; Chordata; Mammalia; Primates; Hominidae
Source: RNAcentral
CCCAGGGUGACAGCUGGGUGGCAGAUUUUGAGAGCAGCCAGUCCAGACUGCAGCAAGGGGAGAGAGAGCUCCAGGAAGGAUAUCUUCCAAAAAAGGGUUUACGCUGGCAGAACAUAUGGAGAGGAGAUUUCCAUUUCUGAAGCAGGGUUUGGGAUGAUUUCAGUAGAGGCACAGUCUCGCUCUGUCACCCAGGCUGGAGUGAAGUGGUCCAAUCUCAGCUCGCUGCAACUUCUGCCUCCCAGGUUCAAGCAAUUCUCUGCCUCAGCCUCCUGAGUAGCUGAGAUUACAGGCUGAUAGGCAGAAGUGACGUGCCUUGUGUCAGAUGAGACUUUGGACUUGGACUUUUGAGUUAAUGCUGGAAUGAGUUAAGACUUUGGGGGACCAUUGGGAAGGCAUGAUUGUGUUUUAAAAUGUGAGAAGGACAUGAGAUUUGGGAAGGGGCAGUGGUAGAACGAUUUGGUUUGGCUUUGUGUCCCCACCCAAAUCUCACGUUGAGUUGUAAUCCCUAGUGUUGGAGGUGGGGCGUGGUGGGAAGUGAUUGGAUCAUGGGGUGAUUUCUAGUGGUUUAGCAUCAUUCCCCUAGUGCUGUCUUAUGAUAGAAUUCUCACAAGAUCUGGUUGCUUAAAAGUGUAUGACACUUUCCCCUUCUCUCUCUCUUUCUCUCUUUCUCUCUCUCCUGCCACCAUGUGAAGACAUGCUUGCUUCCCCUUUGUCCUUCUGCCAUGAUUGUGAGUUUCCUGAGGCCUCCCCAACCAUGCAUCCUGCACAGCUUGUGGAACUAGACUCAACUGUGUGGGUUAAGACUUGGCCAUGGCACACCAAGGAUACCCCGUCUCUGCUCUGCAAUGUCUGAGGAUUCAGCUGGAAGACUUGAGAACUGGAGGAUGGGAUCAACUGAAGGCUCAUUAAUUCACUCAUCUAUCCUGGUUCCAGAAGCAGAUGGGCAGACAAGGAGACAAGCAGAGGAAUGUCAAAAUGCUGCGGCAGAAAGAGAGAAGAGGAGGAAUGUCUCAACACUAAGAGUUUAGCCCGGGGCGGUUCAGCUGCCGGAAGGCCAAACUCCAGGAGAAGCCCAUCUUCCUACUCCGUCCUCCCUUCAGGUUCUCCAUCCAUCCUGCUGAGAGCCACCUCCGCCAUUCAGUAAGACCCCCACAUUUAUCCUUCAAGUGCAUGUGUGACCCAGUUCUUCCAGGAUGCUGGACAAGAGCUUGGGAUACAUAAAGCUGUCACACUGGCCCUCUGCCCUUGCUCGCUAACACUCAAGCCAUUCGCAGACGGCUAAAAGAGCACAUUGUAACACGUGCCCACUUGGACUCCUGCACCUGCCCAUCUGCAUGCUUUCCAUCCUGUAAGGGGUUUGAGUGGUGUCAGCAAUCUAACAGACAAGCCACACCCUUGUUUCACGUCCUGUGAGAGGGGUCAGGGAACUCUUCUGUUUCAUCAUUACCCAACUUUGGAACUCAAGAAAGGACUCACAGGGAAAUUCUUGCAGAAUCUCGUGGAAAAUCUCACAUGUAUUUGUGAAAAUACAAUGUGGAUCUGUGAGAUCCCACUUCAACACAGGCCACGGGGCCACCUUCUGCACCCACAUGGGUUGUUUUAAGUCUUCCUUAGUCUCCUUGAGAAUAACAUGAUGCUAUGAUGUUGGCAGGAAUCUUCCACACCUUCCAAAACAUGACAAUAUGGGUCAAGCCCGUGCAGAGACUGUGGCUCCUGCUUUGGGAGUCACCUGGAAUUGUUGAGAGAUUAGCAAAUCCCAGAACCAGGUUUGUUAGAAUUAACUGCUCAACCAGAUUGUAUUGAAAAUGGUCUGAAGUCAAAGACGACAGACGCAAACGGGCUAAAUUGCUCAGUUAAUUCUUCCAUUUCUCUUCCUCCUAGUUGUUCUAGCUUCAGGGAGGACUCAGGAGAGUACUGUUUGAAAACCACUGAUCUAGUUUACACUUUCAUUUUACAGAGAGGAAACUGAGAGCCACAGAGAUUCAAGUGACUCAUCCAAGAUGACCCAAACCCUGGGGUUUGUUAUUGUUUUUCACACUAUGCAAAGCACUAAAAAACAUUCGUUUGAAACAGGUGAACAAAAGUCUAAUUUGUAGUGAGGUCUAGGGGAAUGACUGUCCAGUCAAUUCCUCAAUUCAUGAAGGAGCAUUUGGGACGCCACAGAGGAACAUACACAGGUAUCCCUCCUCCUACCCGACACCAUUCAGGAAGAGCGGUUACCCCUCCAAUGCACUGAAGCAGAUUCAUUUCCCUCAGGACUGUGGGAGGCGACUGAGGCUGAGUGAAUGAUACAGCCUUUUAAUUUGUUUUUAAUUGUCGUGUCCUGGUAACCCUUCCAAAGACCCUUCACGGAGAGUAGUUUUAUUUUUCCACUUAUUAACCGCAUUCACUAGACUGGAAAAAGAAUUCCCUAUCUCCCAAGAACUCUCCCUUUCAUUCUUGUAAUUCCUUUUUUUUUUUUUUUUUUUUUAGCACCAGGAAAGUAAUGUGUGUAAAACUAGAGCCAAGUAUAUUGUGGUUUCAAAUACAAGCCUGUUUGGAGCAGAAGCCCGUGGGAUUGCUGCGUUUCAGCCUCAGGGGAUGGCCCGCUGAUGGCCUCGGCCUGUGAAAGGGAGGGGCUUGAAUGGCCCUUUGAUUCAGCCCAAAUCUGGGGGUGGAGGGUGGGGAAGGGGCAGGCCUGUUAUUUGACACUUUCUGUUGGGCUUGGCCCAGGCCUCACUCCUUAUGCAGGCCUCCCUGGAGCCUGCAAGCCCUCUCUGAGGACGCACUGACUUAGCAAGCGCUGAAAUGCAUAACAUUCCUUGCUGCUUAGGAAGUAGACCAGCGAUCCCCAGGGCUCGCGAAUUCCCUGCGCUUUGAGAAUGGUGCUCUUUAUAACGUUCCCCAUCCAAACACACACACAGACACGCUACACACACAUACCCCAAACAUACACACACACGCGCACACACACUCCACACACACCCAAACAUACACGUACACACACACUCCACACACACACACCCCAAUAUACAUACACAUGCACACAAUAGACACACACCCAAACAUGCACACACACUCCACACACACACACCCAAAUAAACACACACAUGCGCAAACUACACACACAUUACACACACACCCAUACACACACAUCCAAAAAUACACACACACAAACUACACACAUACUACACACACACACAAACAUACACACACGUGCACACACACGCUCCACACACACAUCCCAACAUACACUCUACACACACGCCACACACACCCCAUACACACAGGCACACAAUCCACACAUACACUCCACAUACACAAACCCAAAACAUACAUACUCUACACACACACCACACACAUCGCAAACAACCACACUCUACACACACACAAACAUAGACACA